UCGGGCGUGGUGCACGGCGCACACCUGCUCCAUGUAUGAUGUAAUCAUUUUCGGGAUUAACAGACAGGAGACCCGGGUUCAACUCCCGGCGCCCGAC
Mycena vitilis is the source of this 97-nucleotide non-coding RNA. NCBI's taxonomy places the organism in Eukaryota, Fungi, Basidiomycota, Agaricomycetes, Agaricales, Mycenaceae. The record is from the annotation of a GenBank genome assembly.